RNAcentral lists this ribosomal RNA (465 nucleotides) under uncultured bacterium. RNAcentral's name for it is "partial 16S ribosomal RNA". It matches the Rfam family "Bacterial small subunit ribosomal RNA", at positions 29 to 507 of the family's 1533-position model. The record is from RNAcentral.
AUGAACGCUGGCGGCGUGCUUAACACAUGCAAGUCGAACGGAAAGGCUCCUGCUUGCAGGGGUACUCGAGUGGCGAACGGGUGAGUAACACGUGGGUGAUCUGCCUUGCACUUCGGGAUAAGCCUGGGAAACUGGGUCUAAUACCGGAUAGGACGAUGGUUUGGAUGCCAUUGUGGAAAGUUUUUUCGGUGUGGGAUGAGCUCGCGGCCUAUCAGCUUGUUGGUGGGGUAAUGGCCUACCAAGGCGUCGACGGGUAGCCGGCCUGAGAGGGUGUACGGCCACAUUGGGACUGAGAUACGGCCCAGACUCCUACGGGAGGCAGCAGUGGGGAAUAUUGCACAAUGGGCGCAAGCCUGAUGCAGCGACGCCGCGUGGGGGAUGACGGCCUUCGGGUUGUAAACUCCUUUCGCUAGGGACGAAGCGCAAGUGACGGUACCUGGAGAAGAAGCACCGGCUAACUACGUG